RNAcentral lists this long non-coding RNA (1489 nucleotides) under Homo sapiens (human). Its description in RNAcentral is "non-protein coding lnc-FBXL5-9:1". The record is from RNAcentral. Lineage: Eukaryota; Metazoa; Chordata; Mammalia; Primates; Hominidae.
GAAAAUGUCAGCGACACCCUGCAUCUGCGAGUUCUAUUCCGUCCCUGAAGCGGUGAAGCGGGCUGAGCGCGCCGAGGGUGGGCUGCAGCCCGGCGAGGGGCUGGGCUCAGGGCACCUUGCCCAGAAGGCGGGCAUCGGUGCCAAGUGUUCACCGGCUACGCAGCAGAGCCACCGAGCAGCGCCCCCCCCCGCCUCCCGCGGGCACGCUCGGUGCCAAGGCCAGCUGCUCCUGAAAGCGGCCCGCGGAGCCCCGAGCCCGGGACUCCCUACUCAGCACCACCCGGCGGGCUCUCGGCUGACCCGCCACGGAAGAUGCCCGGUUCCGGGCGAUCCGGGCGGCUUCCCUGCGCGCGGGGCCCUGCUGUCCCCGCAGUGCCCACCGGUGCGCCUUAGUCGCCAACCCACCUCAUCUCAGGAUGAAUUUCAGUGUACUUGACGCAUCGCGCCAGGACGGUCUCGGGAAAGCGCUUGGUGGUGCCCGGACCGCUCCACUGCUGGCGCCACCUCGGGACGACCACCGCGAGCACCACGACGAGGAUCAGGACCAGGAUACUGACGCCAAGACAGAGUUGGGCUCUCCUAGAGAGCCGGCAGCAGGGUUUGUCCCCGGACACCGGGCUGAACUCGCAGUUGGCCAUAGGGCUCCAGGCGGGGUUGGCUGGGCGAAGAUGAGGCCGGCAGGAGGCUAGGCAGCAAGAGAGAGGCUGGCUGGGUUCUGAAACUGCACCUCCCCUUCUGUUUCACUUGCCUUUUCUCUGUUUCCCUUCCCACCCCCAACCCCUUGCCUCAGAGUUCCGUGGCUGGUUACACCAAUAAGAGUUUAAAAGACCAACAACUAUAGGCUCCUGUGCAGUGACCCACCCACUCCACCUCCAGGGAGAAACAGCCACCUUAAUCCUCUGCAGGUGUCCUAAGGGGGCAGACAGUACAUCCUUAUACUCCCUCCGCUAACUCCCUUCAUCAACCGGGCACUUUACACCUGAGCCACAUUUGCUUCCUGGAAAGCAUGAGGGUGGGCUGCCUGCUUCUAUACGUGUGUGCACACAAUGCCCUCUGCCUGGAAAAGGAUGUCCUACCUCUCUUUCUUAACUCUGACAAAUGCCUGGUCAACCACCUUUAAAGACUCAACUUAAGUCUGACUCCUUCUCUCAAGAGGCAUCAGUGGCUAAGCUCUGGGUUCAAAUUUAGUUCUUGCUGGAUGACAUGGGGCAAGUUACUUAACCUCUCUGUACUUCAGAUGUAAAGCCGGGAUAGUAGCAGUACCUACUUCAUGGGAUUGUUACGAGGAUUAAGUGAGUUAAUAUCUACAACGUGUUUAGCACAAUACCUGGCACAUGGUAAUCACCCAGUAAAUGUAAGUUGUUACUACCAGCUCUAGGAGCUGCUCAGAGAUGCAAUUUUAUAGUCCAUGGAAUGUGUUUGAAGCAGGGUCUGGCACACAGUAAUAAUACUGCACUCUAUGCGGGAGUUUAAUAAAUAAUAAAGUGGC